UGCUGCAGAGAUCCUGGUUAACGCCAUGAUGCCUCCAUGACAGUGGGCAACAAGCUCUGUCCCAUGUCAGACCACGCCCACCCCCUCCCACACAGCCAAUCACAAAGCUGCUCUCAUGACAGGCGGCUAACGGGACCAAGAGGAAAGAGGGAGAUACCAUUCUGGAGCCAGAGAGGGGGGGGUCCUCCAGAGAGAGUUCUUAAUACAGUAAGGCUGAUUUCAGCAGCUCGGCUCUUCAGCACUUUGACCUUCAAGCUGCUGAAAGUCGAAGACCUGAAGGUUUGUUUUUGUCUUUUGCUUCAGAUGAAGAAUCAAAAACUCAACAUCUGUGGAAAAUGAACAUCUGCCAACAUGAGAUUUGACACAUCACCCAGCACGCUAGACUUCCUCUGAAAACUGCUGCAAACUGAACUAGACUAAAGUAAAAGAGGGAAAUGAAUCAGGUUUCUAGACCAGAACAAGAACCUGGAAACAAACAGGAAACAGAUUGAGAUGAAAAAAAAAAACUAACUCAGCAGUUGAUUCAAAAAA
This is a long non-coding RNA of Seriola dumerili (greater amberjack), 531 nucleotides long. RefSeq lists it as uncharacterized. The record is from RefSeq and is a predicted model, not a curated record. Lineage: Eukaryota; Metazoa; Chordata; Actinopteri; Carangiformes; Carangidae. The transcript is spliced from 2 exons.